Molecule: ribosomal RNA, 485 nt
Filed under: uncultured bacterium
Lineage: Bacteria
Description: partial 16S ribosomal RNA
Rfam family: Bacterial small subunit ribosomal RNA
Source: RNAcentral
GAUUGAACGCUGGCGGCAUGCUUUACACAUGCAAGUCGAACGGCAGCGCGGGCUUCGGCCUGGCGGCGAGUGGCGAACGGGUGAGUAAUACAUCGGAACGUGCCCAGUAGUGGGGGAUAGCUCGGCGAAAGCCGGAUUAAUACCGCAUACGACCUGAGGGUGAAAGCGGGGGAUCUUCGGACCUCGCGCUAUUGGAGCGGCCGAUGGCAGAUUAGCUAGUUGGUGGGGUAAAGGCCUACCAAGGCGACGAUCUGUAGCUGGUCUGAGAGGACGACCAGCCACACUGGGACUGAGACACGGCCCAGACUCCUACGGGAGGCAGCAGUGGGGAAUUUUGGACAAAGGGCGAAAGCCUGAUCCAGCAAUGCCGCGUGUGUGAUGAAGGCCUUCGGGUUGUAAAGCACUUUUGGCGGGAACGAAAAGGACUGUGCCAAUACCACGGUUCGAUGACGGUACCCGCAGAAUAAGCACCGGCUAACUACGUG